AUGAACGCUGGCGGCGUGCCUAAUACAUGCAAGUCGAGCGAACGGACGAGAAGCUUGCUUCUCUGAUGUUAGCGGCGGACGGGUGAGUAACACGUGGAUAACCUACCUAUAAGACUGGGAUAACUUCGGGAAACCGUAGCUAAUUCCGGAUAAUAUUUUGAACCGCAUGGUUCAAAAGUGAAAGACGGUCUUGCUGUCACUUAUAGAUGGAUCCGCGCUGCAUUAGCUAGUUGGUAAGGUAACGGCUUACCAAGGCAACGAUGCAUAGCCGACCUGAGAGGGUGAUCGGCCACACUGGAACUGAGACACGGUCCAGACUCCUACGGGAGGCAGCAGUAGGGAAUCUUCCGCAAUGGGCGAAAGCCUGACGGAGCAACGCCGCGUGAGUGAUGAAGGUCUUCGGAUCGUAAAACUCUGUUAUUAGGGAAGAACAUAUGUGUAAGUAACUGUGCACAUCUUGACGGUACCUAAUCAGAAAGCCACGGCUAACUACGUG
Molecule: ribosomal RNA, 496 nt
Filed under: uncultured bacterium
Lineage: Bacteria
Description: partial 16S ribosomal RNA
Rfam family: Bacterial small subunit ribosomal RNA
Source: RNAcentral